RNAcentral lists this ribosomal RNA (253 nucleotides) under uncultured bacterium. RNAcentral's name for it is "partial 16S ribosomal RNA". It matches the Rfam family "Bacterial small subunit ribosomal RNA", at positions 524 to 776 of the family's 1533-position model. The record is from RNAcentral.
UACAGAGGUCCCAAGCGUUGUUCGGAUUCAUUGGGCGUAAAGGGUGCGUAGGCGGCGCGGUAAGUCGGGUGUGAAAUCUCGGGGCUUAACUCCGAAACUGCAUUCGAUACUGCCGUGCUUGAGGACUGGAGAGGAGACUGGAAUUUACGGUGUAGCGGUGAAAUGCGUAGAUAUCUGGAGGAAUACCGGUGGCGAAGGCGGCAUCCUGGACCGGCAUUGACGCUGAUGAGCGAAAGCUAGGGGAGCAAACGGG